AUGGUCCGUUGCGGUUUUCUUC
RNAcentral lists this small nuclear RNA (22 nucleotides) under Arabidopsis thaliana (thale cress). RNAcentral's name for it is "snRNA_10668". The record is from RNAcentral. Lineage: Eukaryota; Viridiplantae; Streptophyta; Magnoliopsida; Brassicales; Brassicaceae.